Long non-coding RNA from Aegilops tauschii subsp. strangulata, 994 nucleotides. RefSeq lists it as uncharacterized. NCBI's taxonomy places the organism in Eukaryota, Viridiplantae, Streptophyta, Magnoliopsida, Poales, Poaceae. The record is from RefSeq and is a predicted model, not a curated record.
AACCGUCCCGGCCUAGUCAUUGCCGGAUCUGGCCGCACCGGUCGUCGGUGCUGCUGGAUCUGGCCGCUCCGGGCCUCAUCACCACCACCUCGAGUGUGCACCUCUCCACCGCCACUUUCCCAUCGUCUUCACAUCCGCCUCGCCCAUAUCCAGAGUAUUCGUGUGUCUCCCGAGGAGCCCGACCCGGGCGGCCUCUCCGUGGACUCCCUCCACCAUAGCUAGGGCAGCGCCACUGCGUCCAGAACAUGGUUCAACCUCCAGAGCGCUUGUGGCAAGCACCAGAUUGUGAGUUCGAGUAGGUCGACCGCGAGCUGCAUCGACAUCGACCGAUUCUCUUCUUCUUUGGCGGUCUGCACCUUCCGUGCGGGCUGUGGAGGACGGAUGACGCGGUGCUGUUAGGGCGCUGACAGGCAGCGGUUCUACGUCCCCUCUCCGAGCAGCUCUUUCAUGGGACAGGCAAUUGAAGGUAUGGACUACAACAGUACAGACUGUUAUAUAUCUGGAAGGCGAAAUUUUGGGGCGGUACCUGGUUAUUGAAUGACAGACAGUUAUAUAAGAGAGAAGAUUCCUAGGUUUGCCAUGACAGACAAGAUGGUGGCAAGGCCUUGCUCGUUUUAGAGGACAUGGGAUACAUACAGGAAGCAGCUGAAAUUGAUGUUGGCAAGUCUGGUAUUUAGAAGAAAUCUCAUGAAGUCAUUCAACAAACGUUUGCGAACAAGCAAUUUGUCUUCCUGGACAUGGCUUCAGCUGUGCAUCAAAGCUCAAACCAUUUGUUUAGCUUAGUUUGAAGAAAAUAAAGUCUUAUUGUCUUGGGUAAAUUCUGUUUAUUGAUGUGGCCAGAUGCUACUGAACGCAUGUAUGUCUUUUGUCACUUCUGAUGUUACUGAACGCAUGUAUGUCUUGUGUAAAUUCUGUUUAUCGAUGCAGCUGGAUGCUACUGAACGCAUGUAUGAUUGUUGAAGUACUGAUAUAUACGAAGUCAUUAUGUGUUUGA